GUGGAAGAGAAAACACAUUUCCUUUUUUUUCCUACAGAUCCCCAAAUUCACUUCUAUUCAAAACCCUAAUUUCUCUUUUUCCUCACAUUUCCUCCCGAUCGAGAAAUCCAAAAACCUAGAUUUCGUUUCCUCAAAUUCGAUUCUUCUCUGAGUGAAGAAUUUGACUUAGCAAGAGGAGGAAAUAAAAUUGGAUAUUUUUUCUGUAAUUUUUUUGAACAAGAGAUGAGAUUUAAUAGAUGAAGAAGAACAAUGCCAGAGUUAAGGAGUGGAGCUCGUAGAGGUAGACCAGUAAAACCUAAAAUCAAACAAGAAGUUGAAGAAGAGAAAGUGAUUGUUGAACCUAGAAGAAGAAGUAGAAGAACAACACCAGCUAUUACAGCUACUGCUACUGAUAAGAAGAAUAAACAAGUAGUAAUUGGUGGUGAUAAUAAUGUUGAUGAUAACAAGAGUAAGAGAUUGAUUGUUCAGAAACAAGAAACAACAGCAGCAGCAGAAGAAGAAGAGUUUAAAUUUGUUGAAGAAGAAGAAGAUUUGAAGGUUGAGAAAGAAGAAGAAGAAGAGAAGAUGGAUAGUGGUGAUGCUUGUAAGAGUAAAAGUGCUGAUAAAUGUGUUGAUGAUGAAGGAAGUACACCUCCCAUUCCUGAAAAGGUUACAGUUGGAGGUUCACCAAUGUACAAAAUUGAGAAAAAGCUAGGUAAAGGAGGAUUUGGUCAGGUAUAUGUUGGUAGAAGGGUUUCAGGUGGAAGUGGGACUUCUGGUCCAACUGCUGUAGAGGUGGCUUUAAAAUUUGAGCAUAGAACUAGUAAGGGAUGUAACUAUGGACCUCCGUAUGAGUGGCAGGUCUACAACACACUUGGUGGUAGUCACGGGGUGCCGAGAGUUCAUUACAAGGGAAAGCAAGGGGAUUUUUAUAUCAUGGUUAUGGAUAUGUUGGGUCCAAGUUUGUGGGAUGUCUGGAAUAACAACUCCCAUACGAUGUCCAUCGAAAUGGUUGCAUGUAUUGCCAUCGAAGCAAUCUCUAUACUGGAGAAGAUGCACUCAAGAGGGUACGUGCAUGGGGAUGUAAAGCCAGAGAACUUUUUGCUUGGAACCCCAGGGACUCAUGAAGAAAAAAAACUGUUCCUAGUUGAUCUUGGAUUGGCUACUAGGUGGCGAGAUACUUCAACUGGUCAGCAUGUGGAGUAUGAUCAGCGACCAGAUAUAUUCAGGGGAACAGUACGUUACGCUAGUGCUCAUGCUCAUUUAGGAAGAACUGGAAGCAGAAGAGACGACUUAGAGUCUCUUGCUUAUACACUUGUUUUUCUUCUACGUGGUCGUCUUCCUUGGCAAGGAUACCAGGGAGAUAAUAAAGGAUUUCUCGUCUGCAAGAAAAAGAUGGCUACAUCUCCAGAUUCACUUUGUUGCUUCUGUCCACAGCCAUUCCGACAGUUUGUUGAAUACGUUGUCAACCUGAAAUUCGAUGAGGAACCAAACUAUCCAAAAUAUAUUUCCCUCUUUGAUGGGAUUGUUGGGCCGAAUCCAGAUAUCAGGCCAAUUAACACGGAUGGGGCACAAAAGCUGAUAUUCCAGGUUGGUCAUAAGAGAGGCCGAUUCACUAUGGAAGAAGAGGAUGACGAGCAACCAAAGAAGAAGGUACGGCUGGGGAUGCCUGCAAAUCAAUGGAUGAGUGUAUACAAUGCUCGCCGACCCAUGAAGCAAAGGUAUCACUACAAUGUCGCUGAUGUGAGGCUUUCUCAGCACAUUGACAAAGGAAAUGAAGAUGGACUGUAUAUCAGCUCUGUAGCUUCUUCUUCAAACCUUUGGGCAUUGAUUAUGGAUGCUGGUACUGGAUUCAGUUCCCAAGUAUAUGAGCUCACACCCCAUUUUCUUCACAAAGAAUGGAUAAUGGAACAGUGGGAUCUGACCUAUUACAUCAGUGCUAUAGCAGGGGCAAGUAAUGGUAGCUCGUUAGUUGUAAUGUCUAAAGGUACACAGUAUACACAGCAGUCUUACAAGGUACACAGUAUACACAGCAGUCUUACAAGGUUAGUGAUGCAUUUCCUUUCAAGUGGAUAAACAAAAAGUGGAAGGAGGGAUUUUAUGUUACAUCCAUGGCCACUGCUGGAAGUAGAUGGGCUGUUGUUAUGUCACGUAAUGCAGGAUUUUCUGACCAGGUGGUUGAACUUGAUUUUCUAUAUCCAAGUGAAGGCAUUCAUCGUAGGUGGGAUAAUGGUUACCGAAUCACAUCGACUGCAGCUACUUGUGAUCAGGCUGCUUUUGUUCUUAGUGUGCCAAGAAAGAAGCUUCCAGAUGAAACUCAGGAGACACUCAGAACGUCGUCUUUCCCUAGCACACAUGUUAAGGAGAAAUGGGCGAAGAAUUUGUACCUGGCAUCUGUUUGUUACGGCCGAACUGUUUCAUGAGCAAGCUUGUUUUUGUUGGGACACUUCCUGGCAAUGUGUUGGGGAUACUUCACUCAGAUGGGAGGGCUCAUUUAGGGAAGCCUGCCAAACUGCUCAUUGUCAGAUCUGAGCUGAAGAAAUUUUGGAUUGUGCGAUGCUUUCUUAAUCGCCAUCUAUUGUAUUGAACAUGUUUGCCCACGGAAUAAUGUAUACAUGAUUACGAUACAAUUGUGGAACACUGAGUUCUACAAUUCCAAUAGAAAAUUUCCUCCAAGCAAGGCAUUAGUUGCCUUAGGUAUCAACAUCUUAUUACAUAGUAUCUUACUGACGAACCCUCAAA
Molecule: RNA transcript, 2721 nt
Organism: Papaver somniferum (opium poppy)
Lineage: Eukaryota; Viridiplantae; Streptophyta; Magnoliopsida; Ranunculales; Papaveraceae
Gene name: casein kinase 1-like protein HD16
Exons: 17
Source: RefSeq, a predicted model, not a curated record